RNAcentral lists this ribosomal RNA (314 nucleotides) under Escherichia coli. RNAcentral describes it as "partial 23S ribosomal RNA". It matches the Rfam family "Bacterial large subunit ribosomal RNA", at positions 165 to 517 of the family's 2925-position model. The record is from RNAcentral. Lineage: Bacteria; Pseudomonadati; Pseudomonadota; Gammaproteobacteria; Enterobacterales; Enterobacteriaceae.
CAUAGGUUAAUGAGGCGAACCGGGGGAACUGAAACAUCUAAGUACCCCGAGGAAAAGAAAUCAACCGAGAUUCCCCCAGUAGCGGCGAGCGAACGGGGAGGAGCCCAGAGCCUGAAUCAGUGUGUGUGUUAGUGGAAGCGUCUGGAAAGGCGCGCGAUACAGGGUGACAGCCCCGUACACAAAAAUGCACAUACUGUGAGCUCGAUGAGUAGGGCGGGACACGUGGUAUCCUGUCUGAAUAUGGGGGGACCAUCCUCCAAGGCUAAAUACUCCUGACUGACCGAUAGUGAACCAGUACCGUGAGGGAAAGGCGA